GUAACUGGAGUUACGCUCUAUAACCCUUUGUGAACAUACCUAUAACUGUUGCUUCGGCGGGUAGGGUCUCCGUGACCCUCCCGGCCUCCCGCCCCCGGGCGGGUCGGCGCCCGCCGGAGGAUAACCAAACUCUGAUUUAACGACGUUUCUUCUGAGUGGUACAAGCAAAUAAUCAAAACUUUUAACAACGGAUCUCUUGGUUCUGGCAUCGAUGAAGAACGCAGCGAAAUGCGAUAAGUAAUGUGAAUUGCAGAAUUCAGUGAAUCAUCGAAUCUUUGAACGCACAUUGCGCCCGCCAGCAUUCUGGCGGGCAUGCCUGUUCGAGCGUCAUUUCAACCCUCAAGCUCUGCUUGGUGUUGGGGCCCUACAGCUGAUGUAGGCCCUCAAAGGUAGUGGCGGACCCUCCCGGAGCCUCCUUUGCGUAGUAACUUUACGUCUCGCACUGGGAUCCGGAGGGACUCUUGCCGUAAAACCCCCAAUUUUCCAAAGGUUGACCUCGGAUCAGGUAGGAAUACCCGCUGAACUUAAGCAUAUCAAAAAGGGGGGA
This 547-nucleotide ribosomal RNA is filed under the name Colletotrichum gloeosporioides. Its description in RNAcentral is "eukaryotic LSU rRNA". The stretch from base 177 to 330 matches the Rfam family "5.8S ribosomal RNA". The record is from RNAcentral. Lineage: Eukaryota; Fungi; Ascomycota; Sordariomycetes; Glomerellales; Glomerellaceae.